UUGGAGAAAGUUUGAUCCUGGCUCAGAUUGAACGCUAGCGGGAUGCUUUACACAUGCAAGUCGAACGGCAGCGCGAGAGAGCUUGCUCUCUUGGCGGCGAGUGGCGGACGGGUGAGUAAUAUAUCGGAACGUGCCCAGUAGCGGGGGAUAACUACUCGAAAGAGUGGCUAAUACCGCAUACGCCCUACGGGGGAAAGGGGGGGAUCGCAAGACCUCUCACUAUUGGAGCGGCCGAUAUCGGAUUAGCUAGUUGGUGGGGUAAAGGCUCACCAAGGCAACGAUCCGUAGCUGGUUUGAGAGGACGACCAGCCACACUGGGACUGAGACACGGCCCAGACUCCUACGGGAGGCAGCAGUGGGGAAUUUUGGACAAUGGGGGAAACCCUGAUCCAGCCAUCCCGCGUGUAUGAUGAAGGCCUUCGGGUUGUAAAGUACUUUUGGCAGAGAAGAAAAGGUAUCCCCUAAUACGGGAUACUGCUGACG
This 483-nucleotide ribosomal RNA is filed under the name Alcaligenes sp. sh40BAB1883. RNAcentral describes it as "bacterial SSU rRNA". It matches the Rfam family "Bacterial small subunit ribosomal RNA", at positions 1 to 474 of the family's 1533-position model. The record is from RNAcentral. Lineage: Bacteria; Pseudomonadati; Pseudomonadota; Betaproteobacteria; Burkholderiales; Alcaligenaceae.